This 240-nucleotide unclassified non-coding RNA is filed under the name soil metagenome. RNAcentral describes it as "partial contains 5.8S ribosomal RNA, internal transcribed spacer 2, and large subunit ribosomal RNA". The record is from RNAcentral.
AACGCACGAGACCUGCGGACCUGCGGAGGGAUCAUUAAUGAGAAACUGCCCCUCGCGGGUAGAUCUCCCACCCUUUGUAAACUUACCUUUGUUGCUUUGGCAGGCCCGUCUCCGGACCGCCGGCCUCGGCUGGCCAGUGCCUGCCAGAGGAUUCUAAAACUCUGUCUGUCAGUGUUGUCUGAGUCUAUAUACAAUCGUUAAAACUUUUAACAACGGAUCUCUAGAUCGGAAGAGCACACG